UUAAUUAAUUAUUUACAAACAAAAUAAAUAGUUAAAAAAAUAUAUUUAUUUAUUUGUUAUAAAAAAAUAGCCGGUGUUUUGUUUUAUUUUAUAUUUUAUUGGUAUCGGACGACACCCGGAAUGGAAUGUUGUCGACUGAAAGCCGCUCGUAACAAAUGUCACACUGUACUGGGUUUAAACGUAACUGGGAGUAACGAGCAAGUGACAGUUGCAGCGUGGGCGUUGAUUGCACAUCAAGUCCAGCGGCAGACUGAACUCAUCCGGUGGCUGCGAGGCCGCAGCACCGUCGUCUAUCCAAUGCCUGUCGCACUCACUACAGUCAACUUCCCCUUCUUCUUCUUUUUCAAGCUGUGGCCGCCAUUACACCGUCAUGUCACCACUACUGUAUUAAAGCUCAUAUCACCACUCCUUUACUUGGAGCACCCUGUAGACUGUAGACUGUAGACUGGGCUGUAAAGCUGGUAUGGUGGUGGUGAUGGUGGUGGUGGUGUUAGUCCUGGUUGUGUUUAUGUAGAAUGAUUUGCACGUGUGCGCACGAGCCGGAGCUGCACCAGAGAAGGAGGCUCGGCAAGGAGUAAAGGACAGAGAGCCUUUACUUUACUGACUGGACCAGCCACCAGCCACCAGCCGGACCGGUGAAUGCGCUUUUUCGCUGCACGACCUCCGAGAUACGGAAAAAUCCAGUCCUUUUGCAUUUUAAUACUCAACUUGGGAUAUUAUACUGUACGAGCAUCGAUGCUAACAUACAGGAUUCGCUGGGAAUAAAACCAACCGGGUUUGUAGUACUCCGGCUAUCCAGACUGCCCAGUCACGAUCACGGUCAUAUAAUCAUGUAGGAUACUAGGUUUUUUUGGAUUGUCCGUGGCGAAGAAUUUUGGAGCAAUGGAUUUUGAUACAAAAUUAGAAUUAAUUAAAAAAUAUAUUUAUUUUUGGUUUUGUAAUGGGCAUACAUUUGAAUAUAUAU
RNA transcript from Cotesia glomerata, 964 nucleotides. RefSeq lists it as uncharacterized. The transcript is spliced from 3 exons. The record is from RefSeq and is a predicted model, not a curated record. Lineage: Eukaryota; Metazoa; Arthropoda; Insecta; Hymenoptera; Braconidae.